This 324-nucleotide unclassified non-coding RNA is filed under the name soil metagenome. RNAcentral describes it as "partial contains 5.8S ribosomal RNA, internal transcribed spacer 2, and large subunit ribosomal RNA". The stretch from base 1 to 120 matches the Rfam family "5.8S ribosomal RNA", at positions 35 to 154 of the family's 154-position model. The record is from RNAcentral.
GAUGAAGAACGUAGCGAAAUGCGAUAAGUAAUGCGAAUUGCAGAAUUCAGUGAGUCAUCGAAUCUUUGAACGCACAUUGCGCCCUGUGGUAUUCCGCAGGGCAUGCCUGUUCGAGCGUCAUUUCAACCCUCAAGCUCUGCUUGGUGUUGGGCCCCGCCCGCUCGCGGCCGGCCCUAAAGACAGUGGCGGCAGCGCCUGGCUCCAAGCGUAGUACAGCUCUCGCUCUGGGGCUAGGCGGUAGCCUGCCAGAACCCCCCUUCUAUGGUUGACCUCGGAUCAGGUAGGGAUACCCGCUGAACUUAAGCAUAUCAAUAAGCGGGAGGA